AGGUAGUGGGUGUGUGGGGUGAAGUCAGCGCUCUUCUGUGGAAAAAACCAGAGGCAAUUAAUUCACUCAGGUGCGAGUGGGUAUACUGUCGUGUGACCACGAAUUUUAAUAGAAGAAUUGAUCAAGCCCUAGAUCGACUGCGCGCAGGGAAACUGAUCAAUAUUAUCACAGGCCAUACAUAGCACUGAUUCCCAG
This is a non-coding RNA of Maylandia zebra (zebra mbuna), 195 nucleotides long. NCBI's taxonomy places the organism in Eukaryota, Metazoa, Chordata, Actinopteri, Cichliformes, Cichlidae. The record is from RefSeq and is a predicted model, not a curated record.